RNAcentral lists this long non-coding RNA (492 nucleotides) under Ursus americanus (American black bear). RNAcentral describes it as "lncRNA (ENSUAMG00000005579.1)". Lineage: Eukaryota; Metazoa; Chordata; Mammalia; Carnivora; Ursidae. The record is from RNAcentral.
CCCCUGCUCACGGGUUGUGGGAGCUCCUGUGUGGGCCUCCGUAUAUUUUUGUUACACUUUAUCCCACCUGUGCCUGUCAGUUCCUUUCCACUUGCCUCCUCCCGUGACAGUCUGGCUCAUGUUUCUUCAUAAAGCUCUAAGCCAGUUAUUAAUAACAGCCCAGCGAGUCUCCGGAUCCACCUAAGAGCAUGUGGUGUUUUUCACAAAAGAGAAGAGAGAUCAUCUCCUUGACUUGGGACUUUGCUUGCGGAGCCCUGAACAGAGGACCUGCUCCGUCCUUGGGAGCUCAGCUGAAACCAGACGAUCCAGUCGUUCUCCAGGACCAGCGUAGCUUCCUGCUAAGGGUGGCUUCAUCGCUGCUUCAUUGUACCAGCCACCGUUUGCUCCAGCACCAGGCAGCACGCUGGGCUCACAGCUUCCCUUUUUACUGAUCCUGAGAUACCGCGGUGGCAAAGGCUGUGGAGCCAGACAGACCUUCCUUCAAAUCCCCGG